AGGAACUUAGGCUAAGAAAAACCAAGGGCCUUCAAAGCCCUAAAUAAGAGUAAACUCUUAGUUCCUG
Molecule: transfer RNA, 67 nt
Filed under: Hoplodactylus sp. Southern Alps
Lineage: Eukaryota; Metazoa; Chordata; Lepidosauria; Squamata; Diplodactylidae
Description: tRNA-Trp
Rfam family: tRNA
About the family: Transfer RNA (tRNA) molecules are approximately 80 nucleotides in length. Their secondary structure includes four short double-helical elements and three loops (D, anti-codon, and T loops).
Source: RNAcentral